Molecule: long non-coding RNA, 10395 nt
Organism: Denticeps clupeoides (denticle herring)
Lineage: Eukaryota; Metazoa; Chordata; Actinopteri; Clupeiformes; Denticipitidae
Source: Ensembl
GCCAAGUCAGAUUCCAUUUUACAGAGUCAUCCUGAAUCCAGCACUCCACAAAAACCUGGUGGCAAGACUACAUCAGAAUCUGAACUUGUAAAUAUGGACGAUGCAGGUGCCAUCAUGCAUGAAUCUAAAGAGAGUUGUACACAAUUCCCCCUCAAUGCUGCAGAUGACAUGGUUUCACCAAAAAUAACUGUGAUGAACAGUGUACCAGAAAUGUAUGAUGCAGACAACAAUAAAACUGGGAACAGUGCACUUAGCAACAUCAGUUCUUUGAAUCUUGAAGAGGAAUUUAUUAAACAGUUAAGUGAUGAAUCUGCAACUGAUGGAAGUAGAACUGAAGACAACACUGAUAACUUUUCUUUACCAGAAAUAUCCUUCAUGAACAUUUCAGACAGCCAUGAUACAGCCAUCACCAGUACUAGUGCAACCAAUGCAACAGUGGGAACAGAAAGCAUUGCAAACAGUCGGACCGAUUCAGAGAACUUUGUCAGAAGCAGCACCUUCGCCAAGUCAGAUUCCAUUUUACAGAGUCAUCCUGAAUCCAGCACUCCACAAAAACCUGGUGGCAAGACUACAUCAGAAUCUGAACUUGUAAAUAUGGACAAUGCAGGUGCCAUCAUGGAUGAAUCUACAGAGAGUUGUACACAAUUCUCCCUCAAACCUGCAGAUGACAUGGUCUCACCAAAAAUAACUGUGAUGAACAGUGUACCAGAAAUGUAUGAUGAAGACAACAAUGAAACGGGGAACAGUGCACUUAGUAACAGCAGUCCUUUGAGCUUUAUAAAGGAAUCUUCUGAACACUCCAGAUGUUCUGGGAAGUCAAGUGAUGAAUUGAUAACUGAUUGUAAAGAGAGCACAAAUUCAUUGGAAGAUUCAGAUAUGGACAAUGGCAUGGAACAUAUUUCUAACACUAUCAACAGAUUUGGUGAUUUUGUGCAUAUUUCAGGGAUUUGUGCUGAUAUGGAGGGGGCAUUAAAAGACUCAGGUCCAGACGAUGGAGCAGCCAACAGCAGAACAAGCACAAGGAAUUCAAUGGGCAGCACAGGUGGCAUUUCAAAUAGUGGAAAAGACAUGUUGAACAAUGAGCCUGAUAACUUUGUCAGAACCAGCACCAUCACCAUCUCAGAGGACAUUUUACAGCAGCAUUGUGAAUCCAGUGGUCAAAAAAAAUCUGAUGACAAUGAAACAGAACCUGGACCCAUCAACAUGAAAACCUGUAACAGUGUGCUGAGCAACAGCAUCUCUUUGGAAGAUAACAAUAAAAAUCAUUCCAUCAACAAUGACUCCAGAUCAGCAUUUGACCAGACACUUUGGGAGCAUCACAUUAUACAGAAUUCAACUUUUCUGGAGGGUGUAUCACAGGUUUCGGCAGGUAAAGCAAGAAUGGUCCUGCACCCAAAAUCACCCACACCUUUCAGAACAACAAAAUUAAUCCACCCCUCAAGCCAGGAACAUCACAGGACUAGUGACCCAGGAAAGUGCUCAGAUUCUGUUGAACAGCAUUCAGAGGAAUCUAUCAUUACUCACCAGCAAGUCAACCUUUGUGAUUACUCACUUACACCUGAAACCAAAUCUUUCAGUACACCAUAUUCAGGAAAAAAGCCACUGUGCUCCAGCAAACACUGUGGUCCUGAAGAGCUGGAAGAUUUAGAAACACAGAACCUCCAAGGUAUCAGACUCUGUGAUUACUCACUGACACCUGAAACCAAAUCUUUCAAUGUACCACGUUCAGAGAAAAUGCUCCUAAGUUUCGGCAAGUCUUCUGAGUUUGCUACCAAAGAAGAGCCAGAAGAGGAGCACAGGACAAAAUGUAUUACGGUGCAGAUGGAGGAAGAAGAACAGAAAGUGUCAGAGGAAUCUGUCAUCCCUCACCGCCAAGUCACCAACCUUUGUGAAUACUCACUUACACCUGAAACCAAGUCUUUCAAUGUAGCACAUUCAGAGGAAAAGCCACAAUGUUCUAGCAAAUGUUCUGACUCUGCUUCUAAAGAAGUAAUCAUGGAGUUAGAAGAACUGCCUUUGGAAGAAUUGGAGGCUGGAGUGACGGUAGUUACCAGGUUGUUUGAUUACUCACUGUUGUCUGAAACAGAAUCAUUCAGUACACCAUAUUCAGGCAAAAAGCCACUGUGUUCCAGCAAACGUUCUGACUGUGUUCCUGAAGAAGAGCUGGAAGAGGAGCAAAGUCUAAAACACACAGCAAUAGCAAUGCACACAGAUUUAGAAACACAGAACCUCAAAGGUACCAGACUGUGUGAUUACUCACUGACACCUGAAACCAAGUCUUUCAAUGUACCACAUUCAGAGGAAAAGCCACAAUGUUCUAGCAAAUGUUCUGACUCUGCUACUAAAGAAAUCAUCAUGCAGUUAGAAGAACUGCCUUUGGAAGAAUUGGAGGCUGGAGUGAUGGUAGUUACCAGGUUGUUUGAUUACUCACUGUUGUCUGAAACAGAAUCAUUCAGUACACCAUAUUCAGGCAAAAAGCCACUGUGUUCCAGCAAACGUUCUGACUGUGUUCCUGAAGAAGAGCUGGAAGAGGAGCAAAGUCUAAAACACACAGUAAUAGCAAUGCACACAGAUUUAGAAACACAGAACCUCCAAGGUACCAGACUGUGUGAUUCCUCACUGACACCUGAAACCAAAUCUUUCAAUGUACCACAUUCAGAGAAAAUGCUACUAACUUCCGGCAAGUCUUCUGAGUUUGCUACCAAAGAAGAGCCAGAAGAGGAGCACAGGACAAAAUGUAUUACGGUGCAGAUGGAGGAAGAAGAACAGAAAGUGUCAGAGGAAUCUUUCAUCACUCACCACCAAGUAACCAACCUUUGCGAAUACUCACUCACACCUGAAACCAAGUCUUUCAAUGUACCACAUUCAGAGGAAAAGCCACAAUGUUCUAGCAAAUGUUCUGACUCUGCUACUAAAGAAGUCAUCAUGGAGUUAGAAGAACAGCCUUUGGAAGAAUUGGAGGCUGGAGUGACGGUAGUUACCAGGUUGUUUGAUUACUCACUGUUGUCUGAAACAGAAUCAUUCAGUACACCAUAUUCAGGCAAGAAGCCACUGUGUUCCAGCAAACGUUCUGACUGUGUUCCUGAAGAGGAGCUGGAAGAGGAGCAAAGUCGAAAACACACAGCAAUAGCAAUGCACACAGAUUUAGAAACACAGAACUUCCACGGUACCAGACUGUGUGAUUCCUCACUGAGACCUGAAACCAAGUCUUUCAAUGUACCACAUUCAGAGGAAAAGCCACAAUGUUCUAGCAUAUGUUCUGACUCUGCUACUAAAGAAAUCAUCAUGCAGUUAGAAGAACUGCCUUUGGAAGAAUUGGAGGCUGGAGUGAUGGUAGUUACCAGGUUGUUUGAUUACUCACUGUUGUCUGAAACAGAAUCAUUCAGUACACCAUAUUCAGGCAAAAAGCCACUGUGUUCCAGCAAACGUUCUGACUGUGUUCCUGAAGAAGAGCUGGAAGAGGAGCAAAGUCGAAAACACACAGCAAUAGCAAUGCACACAGAUUUAGAAACACAGAACCUCCAAGGUACCAGACUGUGUGAUUCCUCACUGACACCUGAAACCAAAUCUUUCAAUGUACCACAUUCAGAGAAAAUGCUACUAAGUUCCGGCAAGUCUUCUGAGUCUGCUACCAAAGAAGAGCCAGAAGAGGAGCACAGGACAAAAUGUAUUACGGUGCAGAUGGAGGAAGAAGAACAGAAAGUGUCAGAGGAAUCUUUCAUCACUCACCACCAAGUAACCAACCUUUGCGAGUACUCACUCACACCUGAAACCAAGUCUUUCAAUGUACCACAUUCAGAGGAAAAGCCACAAUGUUCUAGCAAAUGUUCUGACUCUGCUACUAAAGAAGUCAUCAUGGAGUUAGAAGAACUGCCUUUGGAAGAAUUGGAGGCUGGAGUGACGGUAGUUACCAGGUUGUUUGAUUACUCACUGUUGUCUGAAACCGAAUCAUUCAGUACACCAUAUUCAGGCAAAAAGCCACUGUGUUCCAGCAAACGUUCUGACUGUGUUCCUGAAGAAGAGCUGGAAGAGGAGCAAAGUCUAAAACACACAGUAAUAGCAAUGCACACAGAUUUAGAAACACAGAACCUCCAAGGUACCAGACUGUGUGAUUCCUCACUGACACCUGAAACCAAGUCUUUCAAUGUACCACAUUCAGAGGAAAAGCCACAAUGUUCUAGCAAAUGUUCUGACUCUGCUACUAAAGAAAUCAUCAUGCAGUUAGAAGAACUGCCUUUGGAAGAAUUGGAGGCUGGAGUGAUGGUAGUUACCAGGUUGUUUGAUUACUCACUGUUGUCUGAAACAGAAUCAUUCAGUACACCAUAUUCAGGCAAAAAGCCACUGUGUUCCAGCAAACGUUCUGACUGUGUUCCUGAAGAAGAGCUGGAAGAGGAGCAAAAUCUAAAACACACAGCAAUAGCAAUGCACACAGAUUUAGAAACACAGAACCUCCAAGGUACCAGACUGUGUGAUUCCUCACUGACACCUGAAACCAAAUCUUUCAAUGUACCACAUUCAGAGAAAAUGCUACUAACUUCCGGCAAGUCUUCUGAGUUUGCUACCAAAGAAGAGCCAGAAGAGGAGCACAGGACAAAAUGUAUUACGGUGCAGAUGGAGGUAGAAGAACAGAAAGUGUCAGAGGAAUCUUUCAUCACUCACCACCAAGUAACCAACCUUUGCGAAUACUCACUCACACCUGAAACCAAGUCUUUCAAUGUACCACAUUCAGAGGAAAAGCCACAAUGUUCUAGCAAAUGUUCUGACUCUGCUACUAAAGAAGUCAUCAUGGAGUUAGAAGAACAGCCUUUGGAAGAAUUGGAGGCUGGAGUGACGGUAGUUACCAGGUUGUUUGAUUACUCACUGUUGUCUGAAACAGAAUCAUUCAGUACACCAUAUUCAGGCAAGAAGCCACUGUGUUCCAGCAAACGUUCUGACUGUGUUCCUGAAGAGGAGCUGGAAGAGGAGCAAAGUCGAAAACACACAGCAAUAGCAAUGCACACAGAUUUAGAAACACAGAACUUCCACGGUACCAGACUGUGUGAUUCCUCACUGAGACCUGAAACCAAGUCUUUCAAUGUACCACAUUCAGAGGAAAAGCCACAAUGUUCUAGCAUAUGUUCUGACUCUGCUACUAAAGAAAUCAUCAUGCAGUUAGAAGAACUGCCUUUGGAAGAAUUGGAGGCUGGAGUGAUGGUAGUUACCAGGUUGUUUGAUUACUCACUGUUGUCUGAAACAGAAUCAUUCAGUACACCAUAUUCAGGCAAAAAGCCACUGUGUUCCAGCAAACGUUCUGACUGUGUUCCUGAAGAAGAGCUGGAAGAGGAGCAAAGUCGAAAACACACAGCAAUAGCAAUGCACACAGAUUUAGAAACACAGAACCUCCAAGGUACCAGACUGUGUGAUUCCUCACUGACACCUGAAACCAAAUCUUUCAAUGUACCACAUUCAGAGAAAAUGCUACUAAGUUCCGGCAAGUCUUCUGAGUCUGCUACCAAAGAAGAGCCAGAAGAGGAGCACAGGACAAAAUGUAUUACGGUGCAGAUGGAGGAAGAAGAACAGAAAGUGUCAGAGGAAUCUUUCAUCACUCACCACCAAGUAACCAACCUUUGCGAGUACUCACUCACACCUGAAACCAAGUCUUUCAAUGUACCACAUUCAGAGGAAAAGCCACAAUGUUCUAGCAAAUGUUCUGACUCUGCUACUAAAGAAGUCAUCAUGGAGUUAGAAGAACUGCCUUUGGAAGAAUUGGAGGCUGGAGUGACGGUAGUUACCAGGUUGUUUGAUUACUCACUGUUGUCUGAAACCGAAUCAUUCAGUACACCAUAUUCAGGCAAAAAGCCACUGUGUUCCAGCAAACGUUCUGACUGUGUUCCUGAAGAAGAGCUGGAAGAGGAGCAAAGUCUAAAACACACAGUAAUAGCAAUGCACACAGAUUUAGAAACACAGAACCUCCAAGGUACCAGACUGUGUGAUUCCUCACUGACACCUGAAACCAAGUCUUUCAAUGUACCACAUUCAGAGGAAAAGCCACAAUGUUCUAGCAAAUGUUCUGACUCUGCUACUAAAGAAAUCAUCAUGCAGUUAGAAGAACUGCCUUUGGAAGAAUUGGAGGCUGGAGUGAUGGUAGUUACCAGGUUGUUUGAUUACUCACUGUUGUCUGAAACAGAAUCAUUCAGUACACCAUAUUCAGGCAAAAAGCCACUGUGUUCCAGCAAACGUUCUGACUGUGUUCCUGAAGAAGAGCUGGAAGAGGAGCAAAAUCUAAAACACACAGCAAUAGCAAUGCACACAGAUUUAGAAACACAGAACCUCCAAGGUACCAGACUGUGUGAUUCCUCACUGACACCUGAAACCAAAUCUUUCAAUGUACCACAUUCAGAGAAAAUGCUACUAACUUCCGGCAAGUCUUCUGAGUUUGCUACCAAAGAAGAGCCAGAAGAGGAGCACAGGACAAAAUGUAUUACGGUGCAGAUGGAGGUAGAAGAACAGAAAGUGUCAGAGGAAUCUUUCAUCACUCACCACCAAGUAACCAACCUUUGCGAAUACUCACUCACACCUGAAACCAAGUCUUUCAAUGUACCACAUUCAGAGGAAAAGCCACAAUGUUCUAGCAAAUGUUCUGACUCUGCUACUAAAGAAGUCAUCAUGGAGUUAGAAGAACAGCCUUUGGAAGAAUUGGAGGCUGGAGUGACGGUAGUUACCAGGUUGUUUGAUUACUCACUGUUGUCUGAAACAGAAUCAUUCAGUACACCAUAUUCAGGCAAGAAGCCACUGUGUUCCAGCAAACGUUCUGACUGUGUUCCUGAAGAGGAGCUGGAAGAGGAGCAAAGUCGAAAACACACAGCAAUAGCAAUGCACACAGAUUUAGAAACACAGAACUUCCACGGUACCAGACUGUGUGAUUCCUCACUGAGACCUGAAACCAAGUCUUUCAAUGUACCACAUUCAGAGGAAAAGCCACAAUGUUCUAGCAUAUGUUCUGACUCUGCUACUAAAGAAAUCAUCAUGCAGUUAGAAGAACUGCCUUUGGAAGAAUUGGAGGCUGGAGUGAUGGUAGUUACCAGGUUGUUUGAUUACUCACUGUUGUCUGAAACAGAAUCAUUCAGUACACCAUAUUCAGGCAAAAAGCCACUGUGUUCCAGCAAACGUUCUGACUGUGUUCCUGAAGAAGAGCUGGAAGAGGAGCAAAGUCGAAAACACACAGCAAUAGCAAUGCACACAGAUUUAGAAACACAGAACCUCCAAGGUACCAGACUGUGUGAUUCCUCACUGACACCUGAAACCAAAUCUUUCAAUGUACCACAUUCAGAGAAAAUGCUACUAAGUUCCGGCAAGUCUUCUGAGUCUGCUACCAAAGAAGAGCCAGAAGAGGAGCACAGGACAAAAUGUAUUACGGUGCAGAUGGAGGAAGAAGAACAGAAAGUGUCAGAGGAAUCUUUCAUCACUCACCACCAAGUAACCAACCUUUGCGAGUACUCACUCACACCUGAAACCAAGUCUUUCAAUGUACCACAUUCAGAGGAAAAGCCACAAUGUUCUAGCAAAUGUUCUGACUCUGCUACUAAAGAAGUCAUCAUGGAGUUAGAAGAACUGCCUUUGGAAGAAUUGGAGGCUGGAGUGACGGUAGUUACCAGGUUGUUUGAUUACUCACUGUUGUCUGAAACCGAAUCAUUCAGUACACCAUAUUCAGGCAAAAAGCCACUGUGUUCCAGCAAACGUUCUGACUGUGUUCCUGAAGAAGAGCUGGAAGAGGAGCAAAGUCUAAAACACACAGUAAUAGCAAUGCACACAGAUUUAGAAACACAGAACCUCCAAGGUACCAGACUGUGUGAUUCCUCACUGACACCUGAAACCAAGUCUUUCAAUGUACCACAUUCAGAGGAAAAGCCACAAUGUUCUAGCAAAUGUUCUGACUCUGCUACUAAAGAAAUCAUCAUGCAGUUAGAAGAACUGCCUUUGGAAGAAUUGGAGGCUGGAGUGAUGGUAGUUACCAGGUUGUUUGAUUACUCACUGUUGUCUGAAACAGAAUCAUUCAGUACACCAUAUUCAGGCAAAAAGCCACUGUGUUCCAGCAAACGUUCUGACUGUGUUCCUGAAGAAGAGCUGGAAGAGGAGCAAAAUCUAAAACACACAGCAAUAGCAAUGCACACAGAUUUAGAAACACAGAACCUCCAAGGUACCAGACUGUGUGAUUCCUCACUGACACCUGAAACCAAAUCUUUCAAUGUACCACAUUCAGAGAAAAUGCUACUAACUUCCGGCAAGUCUUCUGAGUUUGCUACCAAAGAAGAGCCAGAAGAGGAGCACAGGACAAAAUGUAUUACGGUGCAGAUGGAGGUAGAAGAACAGAAAGUGUCAGAGGAAUCUUUCAUCACUCACCACCAAGUAACCAACCUUUGCGAAUACUCACUCACACCUGAAACCAAGUCUUUCAAUGUACCACAUUCAGAGGAAAAGCCACAAUGUUCUAGCAAAUGUUCUGACUCUGCUACUAAAGAAGUCAUCAUGGAGAACCUCCACGGUACCAGACUGUGUGAUUCCUCACUGACACCUGAAACCAAAUCUUUCAAUGUACCACAUUCAGAGAAAAGACUACUCAAUUCCAACAAGUCUUUUGACUCUGCAUGUAAAGCAGACCUGGAAGAUGAGCACAGGACAAAGGAUACAGCAAUGCAGAUGGAGUUAGAAGAACAUCUGUUGGAGGAAAAUAAAGGCCUGUGUGAUUACUCAUUGACGCCUGAAGCCCUCAAAGAAGAAGAGCAGGGGGAUGAAAACAGAUGGACAUUUUGCAAUAUCAUGCCUGUAUGUGACUACUCUCUCACACCUGGAUCCUUCUCAUCUGUUCUUCUAGCACACUCCAAAACAACUUCCAAGUUUCGGAAUGGAAACAAAGACAACAUAAGGCCUAUUUUUGCAUUCUCCAAAAACAAUACAUUUUUGGCUGUAAGUGAAGAUUUUGACAAAAGGGCAUUUCAGAGGAUGUUUGGUGAAACAAAACCUGACAAAACAACUUCUCAUUUUGGUGAUAUGGAGUAUACCUGUACUUCUCCUGAUACCUCAGUCUUAAGAGUUGGAGUUGAUAAAGUGGAUUUUUGUCCUGCAACAGAAUCUCUCUCCAUUAUACCCCUGAUUAGGCAAAACCUUAAAGUCACUUCAACCCCUAACUCACUGAGGCACGUACGGCUUCCACCAAUCAUGGCUUCCCCAAUACGAGUUCCUUUUCUCACAAACAAUGACAAGAGUCAACGGUCCAUUGGAGACUCCAACCUUCCAUGCUUCCUUAUAGAUUGUUACCAAAAAGGAGAUCCUCACCCGAUGAGUGUUGCCUCUGCAGAAACAGAGGGAAUGGCUGUGGGCAAUCCACUGGAACGCUACAACCAUGACCAAAUUCGCACCUCAGGUAGUGGCAAUGCUCUCCAGAUGAAGCUGCAGGAAUCUGAAUUAUUUCUGCUUCAUUAUACCACCCGAUCACGGACACAUGCUUCACAGGAAGACUCAUAUGUUGAAAGGAGCUCACAACAAAGUGAGAUGGAUCACAUGUUACAUUCAAGCACACACUUUUCAAGUGGUUGGGAGGAUGAACAGAGCAUUUUGUUCGAAAAUGACUCGUUUGAGCCCACAGACAAACAGGAAAAUGUGGAUGAUGAUUCUGAUGCCUCAAAGAUGACAAAUAGCAAUCCUCAAGAAAUAUCAGAAUACCCAGGAGCUCUAGAAACAGCAGAACCAAACCAGUCUGAGUUUCAAUCAUCUGGCCACAGCCAAGCAUAUAGACAUGUUAUCUCAUCUUCUUUGAUGACAAUGUCUAGUGUUACGCAUACUCCUGGGACAGAAUGCAAACGCUUGCUGCGCAAAUUAAAAGAAUUGUAAUUGCAUUUAAACCUGUAACUAUGCAAUUGAGUUAAGAGUAUACAUUUUGCCUGUGUACAGUCUCACAGUGAUGUCACUUUCAUCAGAGGAAGUAUGAAAAAACUGUUGACCAUGAAUGAACACAUGUGAAUGGUUUUCCAACAGUCUUGAAGGAGUUCCCAGAGGUGUUUAGCACUUGUUGGCCCCUUUGCCUUCACUCUGCGGUCCAGCUCACCCCAAACCAUCUUGAUUGGGUUCAGGUCCAGUGACUGUGGAGGCCAGGUCUCCACUUUUUGUUAAGUACAUAACUCCACAUGUGUUCAUUCAUAGUUUUGAUGCCUUCAGGUAGAAUCUACCAAUGUAAAUGGUCAUGUAAAUAAAGAAAACACAUUGAUUGUGUCCAAACUUUUGGCCUGAACUGUAUGUAUCUGAAUGUUGUCUGAAUUCAUUGUCAUAUACUGUUGCUGUGUUCUAUGUUUGCUUGUGUAUUUUAAAUUUUUCUUUCACUAAUAAUUUUUCAUAGUUCCAUGUUUUUUUAAUAAUAUGUCG